RNAcentral lists this transfer RNA (75 nucleotides) under Alphaproteobacteria bacterium. Its description in RNAcentral is "tRNA-Thr". It matches the Rfam family "tRNA". Rfam says of the family: Transfer RNA (tRNA) molecules are approximately 80 nucleotides in length. Lineage: Bacteria; Pseudomonadati; Pseudomonadota; Alphaproteobacteria. The record is from RNAcentral.
GCCCCGGUAGCUCAAAUGGCAGAGCAGCCGCCUCGUAAGCGGUCGAUUGCGGUUCGACACCGUGCCCGGGCACCA